This is a long non-coding RNA of Oncorhynchus tshawytscha (Chinook salmon), 399 nucleotides long. The record is from Ensembl. NCBI's taxonomy places the organism in Eukaryota, Metazoa, Chordata, Actinopteri, Salmoniformes, Salmonidae.
AGUCAGGCAGCCUAGUGGUUAGAGGAGGCAGGCAGCCUAGUGGUUAGAGGAGGCAGGUAGCCUAGUGGUUAGAGGAGGCAGGCAGCCUAGUGGUUAGAGGAGGCAGGCAGCCUAGUGGUUAGAGGAGGCAGGCAGCCUAGUGGUUAGAGGAGGCAGGCAGCCUAGUGGUUAGAGUGUAGAGGAGGCAGGCAGCCUAGUGGUUAGAGGAGGCAGGUAGCCUAGUGGUUAGAGGAGGCAGGUAGCCUAGUGGUUAGAGGAGGCAGGCAGCCUAGUGGUUAGAGGAGGCAGGCAGCCUAGUGGUUAGAGGAGGCAGGCAGCCUAGUGGUUAGAGGAGGCAGGCAGCCUAGUGGUUAGAGGAGGCAGGCAGCCUAGUGGUUAGAGGAGGCAGGCAGCCUAGUG